GAUGAACGCUGGCGGCGUGCCUAAUACAUGCAAGUCGAGCGAACAGACGAGGAGCUUGCUCCUCUGACGUUAGCGGCGGACGGGUGAGUAACACGUGGAUAACCUACCUAUAAGACUGGGAUAACUUCGGGAAACCGGAGCUAAUACCGGAUAAUAUAUUGAACCGCAUGGUUCAAUAGUGAAAGACGGUUUUGCUGUCACUUAUAGAUGGAUCCGCGCCGCAUUAGCUAGUUGGUAAGGUAACGGCUUACCAAGGCAACGAUGCGUAGCCGACCUGAGAGGGUGAUCGGCCACACUGGAACUGAGCCACGGUCCAGACGCCUCCGGGAGGCAGCAGUAGGGAAUCUUCCGCAAUGGGCGAAAGCCUGACGGAGCAACGCCGCGUGAGUGAUGAAGGUCUUCGGAUCGUAGAACUCUGUUAUUAGGGAAGAACAAAUGUGUAAGUAACUAUGCACGUCUUGACGGUACCUAAUCAGAAAGCCACGGCUAACUACGUG
Molecule: ribosomal RNA, 497 nt
Filed under: uncultured bacterium
Lineage: Bacteria
Description: partial 16S ribosomal RNA
Rfam family: Bacterial small subunit ribosomal RNA
Source: RNAcentral